UUCUCCUACGGGAGGCAGCAGUGGGGAAUAUUGGGCAAUGGGCGCAAGCCUGACCCAGCAACGCCGCGUGAAGGAAGAAGGCUUUCGGGUUGUAAACUUCUUUUCUUGGGGACGAAGAAAGUGACGGUACCCAAGGAAUAAGCCACGGCUAACUACGUGCCAGCAGCCGCGGUAAUACGUAGGUGGCAAGCGUUGUUCGGAAUAACUGGGCGUAAAGGAUGCGUAGGCGGUUAAACAAGUUAUAUGUUAAAUAUAUAGGCUUAACCUGUAGAAAGCAUAUAAAACUGUUUAACUAGAGUGCAGGA
This 305-nucleotide ribosomal RNA is filed under the name uncultured bacterium. RNAcentral's name for it is "bacterial SSU rRNA". It matches the Rfam family "Bacterial small subunit ribosomal RNA", at positions 334 to 653 of the family's 1533-position model. The record is from RNAcentral.